GGAAUCAUUCACGACUUUUCACGCGUGGCGGCGCUGCGGUUCCAUAAGUGGUUACUUGAACGCUUCAAUCACGUAAAACGCUUGCAUCUGUAUUUACAACGUAAACAAUGGCAUCCGAUGAUUACAAUACCUGGUCUGUUCCAGAACUAACGUUACGUGGAGCUGUCACAAGAGACAGAAAUAUAGAUCUUAUAGAAAGAAUCAAUUAGAAGAGCCAAAAUUUAUAAGCUUAGAUUCAAAACAUUCUGGAGGAGCAGAUUGUGUGAAGGUAUUUAUCCUUUUAUAGCCUCAAUCUAUAUCACAAAAAUGUAUUUGUGUUAAAAUAUACAAUUACCAUUAAGAGAGUUGAUUUUUUGUAAGACCAAGUAAAGGUUACAGGUCCUAAUCUCAGUUGGGAAAAUGAUACUGUACAGUUUUAUUUUAGUACUGGUGAACUCUACCGUUACAGACUCGUAUGAUAAUAAUACACCUGAAACUCCACAGAUGUACGUGUAUAUCUUCCGAAUCCAGCCACACUGAUUAGAUGUCGCUUUUCAAUAUAAAUUUUUAUGAAACCAGACUGGAUUAAAAUAAAAUUUUCUUGUGUAAUUUGAUGAAAUUUAAAUUAUCUCCACUAGUUUACUCACUAAACAACAGGACUAAUCUGUUAACAUUUUCUUUACAGAAGCAAGCAGAAGUCAAGAGAAAUAAAAAGAAUGGAACAAAAGAAAAAAUUGAAAAAGAACAGUGAAAUGACAAAAUUAAAUAAAAAUUUUGCAUUUCUUA
This is a long non-coding RNA of Mytilus californianus (California mussel), 765 nucleotides long. RefSeq lists it as uncharacterized. Lineage: Eukaryota; Metazoa; Mollusca; Bivalvia; Mytilida; Mytilidae. The record is from RefSeq and is a predicted model, not a curated record. The transcript is spliced from 2 exons.